GGCAGCAAUUACAAAAUUCAAUUUGCUGACAUUCGUAAACUACAUUAAGUUAACACAAACUAGCAGUGAUAAAUACAUCUAAAACAAUAAUCAGUAUAGUUGUUUGUUUGUUUGUUUGUGUUUAACGCCACGCCAGCUUCUGUGGUCAUUUUCAUGGCAAGAAAAUUUAUGGCUGAAUUGUAUUAAUCCUAGUUAAUUUAAAUUUCAACAUUUACUUCAUUAUUAAAAUCAUGAGUUGUAUAUGAAGACUAAUGCUAACAAAGAUCAAUGAACACUGUAACAAAUGUAUUGCUCUUUCUUAAUUAAUGGGACCUUAUUGUAAUGUGUUAUCAAACUUACUUAUAUAUUCUUUGUUUCACCAAUGAUUAAUUUUUUUUAUUUUUAUACAGUGUCUAAACAAUCUUUCAGUGGCCUGUGUAAGAAGUGCUACGGUUAAUAAAAUCAUCAUCAAUCAUUGGCAGAUAAACAAAAAUAGACACAACACAAUAUGAAUUUCUGUUGCAGAUUUUACUAUUUUUAUUUAGAAUUUUAUUUUUUUUGUACUUUUUUUCUGGGGCUUUUUGUUUUAUCAGUUGGGCCCCAGACCAACCAACCAAGCAAUGCAGAAACCAAAGGUUUCACCAAAAUUUAACUUCUUCACUUUACAUUCGUAGCAUUAUUCAGGAGUCAACAUUUGUAGCAUUAUUCAGGAGUCAGCAAUGUGUUAAAGAGAUUUCUUGGUUUACUAGUUAGCAUCACAUGCAUUGGUUUUUUAUGGUCGGUUCUUGGCUUUUUGUCGGCAUUUUUCAUAGACUUGAGGCUUCGCAGACUGCGCUGGCCUCUGCGCAUCUGGACAACAGCACCAACAAAUGGGUUUCCCCUCUGAAUGGCACUGGGCCAGAUGACCUCACCCCUGGCAGCAAGGAUUUACAUAAACUCCGCCUCCUUCAUGAUGCUAGAACAAAAAACAAAACCAUUGAGCUACAGGAAAUGCAGAUUGUGUCAAAUAUCAAUUAUAUAACAACCGUAUAACCACAUAACGUAUUAAAAAACAAUAUUACUGAAUAAUGCAUUUGAAUGACAUCACUGGAUAUCACACUAUGCGGUUUAUUUUUAGUUACCUAUCUUUUACAGUAGCUCAAAAAAAGUCUGAAAAACAUAUAAUGUACUCACACAUUAGUGCUACAAGACCAGUCAAGUUUCCACAGCAUCUCCCACAGAGGAAACGCCAUAAAAUCUGUAAAGAUGAUUCAAUUUCCAUGGUUACACAGUAACAAACCACCAAAAAAAAAAUGUGCAUUACUAAGUCAUUUAAUUGCGAUGACAGAAAACAUGUUAUUCUAAAUAAUAAUCAUGAUAAUAAUAAUUAUGAGAAAUGUUCUCUAUAACUAGUCGUCUUACCUUGUUGAUCUGGCAGCAGAAGGCUCUGGAAAGGACAGAUCAGUGGGUCUGUGUGUAAUUUAUACUGGUACACUGUUCCCGCC
Molecule: long non-coding RNA, 1463 nt
Organism: Cyprinus carpio carpio
Lineage: Eukaryota; Metazoa; Chordata; Actinopteri; Cypriniformes; Cyprinidae
Source: Ensembl